Molecule: long non-coding RNA, 781 nt
Filed under: Drosophila guanche
Lineage: Eukaryota; Metazoa; Arthropoda; Insecta; Diptera; Drosophilidae
Source: RNAcentral
UAUCAUGUGUGUGUUCAGAAAUUUGUCUAAAAAGUUAAUUUGUUCAUUUGUUGUUCAUUUCUAUUUGUUUAAUCAUAUUUAAUAUUUGUUUUAUUUAUUUGUUUAAUUUUGUAUUAAUCAUUUUAAUAACAAUGCCGCGUCCUAGAAGAUCCAAUCUUUCCCAGCGAAGCCGUAAUGCAAUUAGGCAACGGAAUAUCGCGAGUCAAUUAUCUGAAAUUGCACGAGAACAGCGCCGCGUUAAUAUGGAGCAAAGAAGGGCCUUAAUUCGUGCUUCUCAAACACAAGAGCAAAGAGAGAGAAAUCGUCGAGCUUAUGGUACAGAAGAACAGAUGAAUAAUCUUCGAAGUGCAAGAAGAAAUGGUUUGAAUCGAGCAGCGUUUCUGUAUGAUUGCACCAUCCACUACAGCUUGCAUCGUUUAGUUUGCAUUGGUCCAAUGGACGUUGUUUGCCAGCACUGUGGAGCAUUGAAGUUUGCUGGUAAAACGCCUGGUUUGUGCUUCCUUAGUGGUAAAGUGAAAUUGCCAUUAUUAGUCCCGCCACCAGAGCCAUUGUGCUCCCUGCUUUAUGGCGAAUUCUAAUUUAGUAGAGAGUAGCUGUAAGAGUAUUUAACCUAUUACGGGUUCUAAAAUAAAAUUUUUACUGCAUUUGUUUCAGGUGAGGAAACUACCAAGAAGGUUAGUUCGAUGGUUCGUGAAAAUUCUGACAAUUAUUUGUUGCGAUUUCUUCGACUGCUUCAACAAUAUUGCGUUGACAUGUACGUUAAAAUCGAAACGGAGCGCCU